AACCCCGUUAAAUAGCUCCCCUGAGUUUUGUUCCUGGCUUCUCCUGGCCCCGCCUUUGAGUUUGGAUUCUGCUCAGGAUGAACGCUGGCGGCGUGCUUAACACAUGCAAGUCGAACGAUGAAGCCCAGCUUGCUGGGUGGAUUAGUGGCGAACGGGUGAGUAACACGUGAGUAACCUGCCCUUAACUCUGGGAUAAGCCUGGGAAACUGGGUCUAAUACCGGAUAGGAGCGUCCACCGCAUGGUGGGUGUUGGAAAGAUUUAUCGGUUUUGGAUGGACUCGCGGCCUAUCAGCUUGUUGGUGAGGUAAUGGCUCACCAAGGCGACGACGGGUAGCCGGCCUGAGAGGGUGACCGGCCACACUGGGACUGAGACACGGCCCAGACUCCUACGGGAGGCAGCAGUGGGGAAUAUUGCACAAUGGGCGCAAGCCUGAUGCAGCGACGCCGCGUGAGGGAUGACGGCCUUCGGGUUGUAAACCUCUUUCAGUAGGGAAGAAGCGAAAGUGACGGUACCUGCAGAAGAAGCACCGGCUAACUACGUGCCAGCAGCCGCGGUAAUACGUAGGGUGCGAGCGUUAUCCGGAAUUAUUGGGCGUAAAGAGCUCGUAGGCCGGUUUGUCGCGUCUGUCGUGAAAGUCCGGGGCUUAACCCCGGAUCUGCGGUGGGUACGGGCAGACUAGAGUGCAGUAGGGGAGACUGGAAUUCCUGGUGUAGCGGUGGAAUGCGCAGAUAUCAGGAGGAACACCGAUGGCGAAGGCAGGUCUCUGGGCUGUAACUGACGCUGAGGAGCGAAAGCAUGGGGAGCGAACAGGAUUAGAUACCCUGGUAGUCCAUGCCGUAAACGUUGGGCACUAGGUGUGGGGACCAUUCCACGGUUUCCGCGCCGCAGCUAACGCAUUAAGUGCCCCGCCUGGGGAGUACGGCCGCAAGGCUAAAACUCAAAGGAAUUGACGGGGGCCCGCACAAGCGGCGGAGCAUGCGGAUUAAUUCGAUGCAACGCGAAGAACCUUACCAAGGCUUGACAUGUUCUCGAUCGCCGUAGAGAUACGGUUUCCCCUUUGGGGCGGGUUCACAGGUGGUGCAUGGUUGUCGUCAGCUCGUGUCGUGAGAUGUUGGGUUAAGUCCCGCAACGAGCGCAACCCUCGUUCCAUGUUGCCAGCACGUCGUGGUGGGGACUCAUGGGAGACUGCCGGGGUCAACUCGGAAGGAAGGUGAGGACGACGUCAAAUCAUCAUGCCCCUUAUGUCUUGGGCUUCACGCAUGCUACAAUGGCCCGGGACAAU
This 1283-nucleotide ribosomal RNA is filed under the name Micrococcus sp. KSUM_22. Its description in RNAcentral is "bacterial SSU rRNA". It matches the Rfam family "Bacterial small subunit ribosomal RNA", at positions 1 to 1243 of the family's 1533-position model. The record is from RNAcentral. Lineage: Bacteria; Bacillati; Actinomycetota; Actinomycetes; Micrococcales; Micrococcaceae.